ACGAACUUCGCCGUCAAGCGCUUUUCUUCCAAAUCGAAAUGUUCCGCUUCUCCUUCCCAUUGCUUCUGUUGAGAAACGUCUACAAUAAUGACAUACAACCCAAUGAUGCCCACUACAUCCUCUUUAAUACAUCUUGAACCCUUAUCAAGCUCUCUCAUGAUGUACUUAUAUACAAGGUUUGUUAUCUUCGGCAAAUCAAGAGCUCCGUUUCUCUGACCUUAAGGCGAAACAAUAUAAAAUUUCAAAGUGAAGUCUUACACGACCUCCACGAACAAACUUGACGAUGUGCACCGAUAAGUCUUUGGGCAGAAGUGUUAAGAAGGCUGCAUGUUUAAGCUGAGAAAGAGUAUGGUACAUUCUUGAGAAAGAUCAGCAGGAGCUAUUUACUAGGAUGCUUAACAAGCAGAUGGACUCAUUUAAUCGAAGAUAUCAUCUCAGUUUCUUACUAAUCUGUCACUUUGUCCGAACAAUACGAGGAGUUAUGUAAGCUACUACUCCAAAUAUCGAAAAGUUUUCAACAGAACUAGAUCGUUUUGAAUUCAAGGGUCGAAGAGAUUCUCUAGUAUCUAACAAUUAAUAAUGUUGGAGAAUUAUUAUCAUCAGCUGUAGAAAUUGCCUUCUGCACUUACUGCACCUGCUACCAUGUUAAUUUUCAACUGUAUAAGUUUAAAAUCAUCAUUUUAGUGGAAGCUAAUGUCUUAAAAUCAUCAGCGUGGAUACUUCCAUCGUGAUUCAAAGUCAGAAAUUUAUUAACUCUAAAAACUGUCAUCAUUGAGAUCACUGAUCUUGGCUUCGCUCGGGAUGUCAAUUCGAGUACACCAUAUAUAGAGUAUGUAUUGUCAUGCUGGUACAUGGCACCAGAAGUACCGACUACAGCUUUAUGUGUACCUGCCAAACGUUGGUUAGUGCACUACAACAGUGUAUUAUCUAAAACAAAAAGGAUUUAUUCAAGCUUUUUGUUUUGUUUUGAAACUACUUAGAAAGUGUUUCCUAUGUAUUUGUUACAUAGAAUUAAGGCUGAACAAAAUAAAGCCUAACCAAAAAGUAAUAUCAAACACGAACUUAAACAAUAAAUAUCCAAAAUUUUAGUAUCCAAAAAAUUAGAAUCUAA
This is a long non-coding RNA of Raphanus sativus (radish), 1111 nucleotides long. RefSeq lists it as uncharacterized. The record is from RefSeq and is a predicted model, not a curated record. The transcript is spliced from 5 exons. Lineage: Eukaryota; Viridiplantae; Streptophyta; Magnoliopsida; Brassicales; Brassicaceae.